RNAcentral lists this ribosomal RNA (434 nucleotides) under uncultured Lachnospiraceae bacterium. RNAcentral describes it as "partial 16S ribosomal RNA". It matches the Rfam family "Bacterial small subunit ribosomal RNA", at positions 341 to 792 of the family's 1533-position model. The record is from RNAcentral. Lineage: Bacteria; Bacillati; Bacillota; Clostridia; Lachnospirales; Lachnospiraceae.
ACGGGAGGCAGCAGUGGGGAAUAUUGCACAAUGGGGGAAACCCUGAUGCAGCGACGCCGCGUGAGUGAAGAAGUAUUUCGGUAUGUAAAGCUCUAUCAGCAGGGAAGAAAAUGACGGUACCUGACUAAGAAGCACCGGCUAAAUACGUGCCAGCAGCCGCGGUAAUACGUAUGGUGCAAGCGUUAUCCGGAUUUACUGGGUGUAAAGGGAGCGUAGACGGCGAGGCAAGUCUGAAGUGAAAUGCGGGGGCUCAACCCCUGAACUGCUUUGGAAACUGUUUUGCUAGAGUGCAGGGGAGGUAAGUGGAAUUCCUAGUGUAGCGGUGAAAUGCGUAGAUAUUAGGAGGAACACCGGCGGCGAAGGCGGCUUACUGGACUGUAACUGACGUUGAGGCUCGAAAGCGUGGGGAGCAAACAGGAUUAGAUACCCUGGUA